RNAcentral lists this long non-coding RNA (1088 nucleotides) under Cyanistes caeruleus (blue tit). RNAcentral's name for it is "lncRNA (ENSCCEG00000008881.1)". The record is from RNAcentral. Lineage: Eukaryota; Metazoa; Chordata; Aves; Passeriformes; Paridae.
CCCAAAGCCCAAAGACAGGUAAAACAGACAAUAAAGCAUGUGGGCAAUCCUUGAAUAAUUGUGUGCCACCAGAGACUUGUUUCAGGAUAACUAACUAGGAUUAUCAACAUACGAGGUUUUUACUCUCUGCAUUUGUAAGUGCCUUACAGGAAUUAGCACAGUGUCUUCUGAAACCUAAAUGUAUGAAAACUGGCUGGCACUGCAGCUUUUGUUCCUGUCAGCAGCAGCAAAAGCAGGAGAGCAUGAAAAAUGUGGUCUCUGAGCAUUUUCAGGCUUCCCCCAGCAUCCACCCUCACCUCUUGUGGUGGGGUAAGAGAGGAUGUGCUGGUGAGACACAGGAGCAAAGGAGUUUGCUACAAAAGCAGGCUGCUAACCCAGAGAUAAAAAUAGUAUCUGUGCUGUAUGUCGUCUAAAGUGAAACUGUUGAGCACCCCUGCAUCAAGAUGUUUAAUUUUAUCUCAGAUGUACAGUAGUCUGUGCCCUCCAAGACACGUAAAUACACCAUGAAAAUGUAUUUAAUUUUGAUGCCACCAGACAGACUUCUCUCCUAAAGGCUGGGUUCCUGGGCUGUGCUGUAAAGAAAAAGAGAGGAAGAAAGGAGAUUUAAAAACCACUUUUUUUUUUAGGACUGCUCUCCUGUGAAACUUUAAGGGAUUAUAAACCACAUCAGUAGCUACUGAAAUCUUUAGUCAUGAGUAUUUUUUACAGAAAAUGUCAGAAAAGCAUCACAGAAUGUGUUAACUGUAACUUGCUUUUACCGCCUGAUCCUGAGCAUACAUGCAAGUGUUAAAAAAUGAGUAUUUUAAAAGAAAACUUGGCAGCAGAACAUCCAGCAUUUUCAGGAGAAAAUGUGCAUUUCUUUUGAUUUGUAUCAAGUGUCAGCAGGGAGGGAUAAUCAGAAAGUGCCAUUACCACUCAAAAUCAUAUCAUACAUAAUUCUGUUAUAAAUAAUUCUCAGCAGAUAUGACUAAUUUAGCACACUUUGGCAUUACCUGUCGGUGCUGGUGGAUAUGCUUGCAGCUGUAAUUUCAGGUCUUUAAUGUUUAUUAUGUUACUGUCUCUUUUGGUAUUAUUAAAUCUUGCCCGAU